Contarinia nasturtii (swede midge) is the source of this 1135-nucleotide long non-coding RNA. RefSeq lists it as uncharacterized. The transcript has 3 exons. NCBI's taxonomy places the organism in Eukaryota, Metazoa, Arthropoda, Insecta, Diptera, Cecidomyiidae. The record is from RefSeq and is a predicted model, not a curated record.
UUUCAGUCUCAAAAUUCAAGAUCAAUAAUAAAUCUCAAGUAUAAGAACAGAUUUGGCAGAGAGUAUUACUAUUAAAAUUCAAAAUGAAAUUCUUAAUACUCGUUAUUUUGGGAUUCUUCAUUUUACAAUGUUCUUGUAAUAUGGAAUAUACGUUAAAAGGCAGGUGUUAGCUAUGUAGAUAGUGCCAGAUGGCCCUGUUACAUUGCAAUAACAGAUCCUAGUGCUAAAGAAAGUAACAUGCUUCACGCUUCAAGUAAUACGGCCAUGUGCAAAUUUGCCAAUCAAUGUAAAUUAUAUAAGCAGUCACUAAUAAUGAGAGCAAAGGAAGCUGCCGGCUCCAACGAUAUCGUAUAUGUUGCUCACGCUGGAACUGAUGCACAAUUUUUUGACGACAAUUAUCCUGGUUGGAAUAUCUAAAACUAUGAUCAUGAGAAAGAACAAUGCCAAAAAGUGAGCCAGCGUUUUUAUGCAUUUUUAUUUUUUUUUAUUUCCAUUUCAUGUGUAAACAAAUUGAGAAAACAUCACGAGUACCAAAAUAAAAAUUCCCCGGCUCACUCGUUAUAUGAAAAAUUGAUAUCCUUCGUUAUCCGCAAAGAAAAAGAAAAAUAUUGUUAAUUGAAGCAUUUUAUGGACAUACACAAAUAUAGUCAUAAUUCAGUUGUAUUUUAUUUUCAAUUUUCACCGGAUAUAUAAGCAAUAAUAAUUUAAGAAAAGUUUGGUCAUCGACCAAGUUCGGUUAGAUCUUAAUAGUAAUUUUAACUUACUUAAACCUAAAAGUAUCUUUUUAAAGUGAACACAACUCGCUCUAAAUAUUGGCAGGAAAAGAUGUUCUUCGAAAAAUCAAAAAAUGCCAAUUUCAAAGAAAGUCAAUCUCCGCCAAUAUUUAAUAUUGACGGUUUGUAUUUAAUAAAUUCUUCUUCUAAGGUAUGCAAAAAAUUGUUACUUCGUCGAUUUCUCAAUGACUGUAAGUUACAGUCUGUAACUGUAUAAACGUAAAUACUCCAAACAUUGUUUUGUUUUUAUAAUUUAACGGUAUAAUCAUAGUUUCGUCAUCAUCGCCGAUAAGAAAUAUUUUAUGGAGAAAAUCGUGAUUGAAAAAACAAAACUUUGGUUGAAAAUGUGGAGAAAAAAAAAU